RNAcentral lists this ribosomal RNA (809 nucleotides) under uncultured archaeon. RNAcentral describes it as "bacterial SSU rRNA". It matches the Rfam family "Archaeal small subunit ribosomal RNA", at positions 85 to 879 of the family's 1478-position model. The record is from RNAcentral.
ACGGCUCAGUAACACGUGGCUAAUCUGCCCUUGGGACGAGAACAACCCCGGGAAACUGGGGCUAAUUCGCGAUAGGUGAAGAACUCUGGAAUGAGUCUUCGCCUAAAAAGUGCAACGUUAUCCUCGUUGCACCGCCCAAGGAUGAGGCCGCGACCGAUCAGGUUGUUGGCGAGGUAAUGGCUCACCAAGCCUUUUACCGGUGCGGGCCGUGGGAGCGGGAGCCCGGAGAUGGGCACUGAGACAAGGGCCCAGGCCCUACGGGGCGCAGCAGUCGCGAAAACUUUGCAAUAAGCGAAAGCUUGACAGGGCUAUCCCGAGUGCCAUCCGCUGAGGAAGGCUUUUACCCAGUCUAGAACGCUGGGGGAAUAAGGAGAGGGCAAGUCUGGUGUCAGCCGCCGCGGUAAUACCAGCUCUUCGAGUGGUGUGGAUGUUUAUUGGGCCUAAAGCAUCCGUAGCUGGCUAAGUUAGUCCCUUGUUAAAUCCACCGAAUUAAUCGUUGGAUUGCGGGGGAUACUGCUUGGCUAGGGGACGAGAGAGGCAGACGGUAUUUCCGGGGUAGGGGUGAAAUCCUAUAAUCCCGGGAAGACCACCAGUGGCGAAGGCUGUCUGCUAGAACGCGCCCGACGGUGAGGGAUGAAAGCUGGGGGAGCGAACCGGAUUAGAUACCCGGGUAGUCCCAGCUGUAAACGAUGCAGACUAGGUGUUUGAACGGCCACGUGCCGUUCUAGUGCCGCAGGGAGGCUGUUAAGUCUGCCGCCUGGGGAGUACGAUCGCAAGAUUGAAACUUAAAGGAAUUGGCGGGGGAGCAC